UUGUAGAAAUGACUGAAGAAUUAGGGUUUGAAGAUAUCUUUCUACUUGUUAUAAUGGUCUGUCCUCUCAAAAUUUUGGGUAUCUUUCAUAUUCUGGUUUCUGGAGCUUAACUAAGGUACUUGUUUAUUUUUGUUUACUUUUUAUGAUGUUUUAAUUGAACAUUUUUUCAAUAUCUUUUAUGACUGAAUUGAAUGGGAAUGCAAUUUAUUUAUAUCCAUGGAGAAGAGCUAAGACUACUCAUCAUCACUUCAUUCCUUUCAUUGAUUGGGAACAGUUCUACCAUCUUUGUGGGACGAUUAAUGGAAUGGAGUAUGACGAUUUAUUUCCUUUACUCUCAAAGGAGGAAGGCAUGCCAUUCUACAUGAAGCGCACAGCUUGAGCUACAAUCUAGGAUAAAUGCUUUAAUUUCACCCUAGCUAGUGAUAACAUUAGUUGACCACUUUUAAUAUAAUUGGUUUUGUGGCCUGCUGCCAGGGGAACAGCCCUGGAAGUCAAGUGAUGCGACAAACUAUAACAACAAACAUGGUUUCAAAGAAGAAGAUGGGACCAGUGCAUUGACAACAGUUGGUGAAUUGCCAAAUGACUAAAGAUAGAAGAGAAUGUAGGGAAAUUCAGGAACAAGUCAAUGCGCAAAGAAGCGGUCAAGGGGGGUUGCAAAGGCACAUCUUCGCUAGCCAGCUGUUUUUUUCAUGAGGUAUGCUCGGAUAUUUGAGCAUUUUAUUUUAAAAAGCUGUUUGCAUUCUGUGAAUGUGCUUUAUUGAAAACAACUACUGUAUUAGCUUAUCUGUUUAUGUGAGGGCAUUGCGUUCUUUUAAGUUUUAAAUCUGUGUUUUGCAAUGGAAAAUAUUAUGACUGUUGUUUGUUUGAUAGUUUUAAGAAGUUUGUGAUGAUAAUUAAAAUGGAAAUAAAGAAACUUUUCCGUGUGAAUGAAUAAUUGAGUUGUUGUUGUUGGUUGCCAAAAUUUGAUUAAAAUGUCAAUGAAUGCAUAUUUAAAUGUUUCGUACUAAAUGAUAUGGGUUAAGUUGAAGUUAUUAUUUACGAAUGCUACUGCAAUCUGCCAUGUUCCAAAAUCUGUCCAUGAGUUAGAACUCAAGCCUUGAUGAGUGGGGAUAAGGGAAUUUGCCUCAACAGUCGCAACACCUCUUGAAUACAUAUAGGAAAAUUCCCUUAUCCCCCACUCUUACAGGAAGCUGUUACACAGAGUAGAAUCCUGCAGCACAACAUUAUCCAACAAGACUGCAGUCUGCAGUUCUCUGAAACCUGACAAGGGAAACUACCAUCACUGAAACUUGGAUGCUAGUCUGACCAUUAGAGAAUGUACACUCAUCAAUAGAGAAUGUUAGACGCAACUAGGAAAUCAUGAAAUCAGCAUGUAGCUUAAUGGCAUAAUAACAUAUAUUGAUUAAAUUUGGAAAGGGGUAAGAAGAUGGUUAAACGAUGCCCAUUACACCAAUUAUUUUUAUAUUCAACCUUUUGUUGUGAAUGAAUAACUGAGUUAGUUGAUUGUAGUAGCUGCUAGUCCAGAUUGGUUUAUUAUAUUUCAUUUCCAUUCCACAGGGUUAGCUUUGAUGAUCUGUCCUCUCAUCGGAGACUGGCUCCCUUGUUAGCCAAAGUUCUUAAGAGAUUUGCGUGAUACCAGUUAUGAAGUUAAAUUGAGUUGGAAGCUUGCUAUGGUGUGUGAAAGAUAAAGAGUACAGUAUCCAGUAUAUCUUUUCUGCUCGUUGAAGGAUGUAACCACAUAAAUUGGAUGCUGAGAAAAUUAUGUAUGUGUUUGUUUAUGAUGUAAAAUUUUCCAAUGUUUUUCGCUAUACUGGAUGUUGUGGUUACCAGUUUUGAUUAAACUGACAAUGAAUGCAUAUUUAACUGUUUCAUACAAAUCAAUUCUUUAUCACAUUAGAAUACAAAGACUGUUUAGAAGGCCAAAGAAAGGUGCCAUUAACUAAAAUGAAGUUUUCGAGUUCGA
RNAcentral lists this long non-coding RNA (1963 nucleotides) under Aquilegia coerulea. Its description in RNAcentral is "long non-coding RNA (ACOE_LNC002335)". The record is from RNAcentral. Lineage: Eukaryota; Viridiplantae; Streptophyta; Magnoliopsida; Ranunculales; Ranunculaceae.